GUGAGUACCCUGCAUACAAUAAAGGGGACAAAAAGAGGCUUGCUCUCUCUCUCUCCCUUGUUGAUUUUGCUGUCUUCUAUCUAUGAACUGUUGCCCCUCUGCCAUGUGCCACCCUGCCUUAGAGCCAGCCAACUAUGGCCUGAAACCUGUAAAGAUUGUAGCUAAACAAACGUUUCCCCCCUUAACUUUGGGUGGUGGGUAUUUUGUCUCAGCAACAAAGAAAGUAACUUAAGAUAACAAUGCUCCCCCCUGGGAUAAGCAGGACCCCUCAAAGUGGGCUCCUCACAGACCAAAGAGAGGCUGACCACCCACCUCUGUCUGAAGACUGCCCAGGACUCCCCCAGGCUCCGCCCCUUGAAAGGAAGCUGUGUCUGCCUGCAGAUACUGUAGACUCAGGUCAAGUAAGGUCUGCAUUUCUCAGAUGACUUCCUCCUGAGAGCACCAGGCCAUGGAGAACCCUGUCCCUGCAGUGUGGCAGUGAGGAUUCUGGCAAGCUGGAAGAGGACUUGCAAAGCCCAAGUUACUUCUGUCUUAGAGACACCUGGUCUACACCAUCUCCUUUGGUCCUUACUGUGUCACUGUGAGCCUAUGGCUUUCCUUGUGUUACAGCUAAAGACACUGAGAGUAAAGGAGCUUAGAGAACAUCUGUAAGACAGGAGAAGGAGAGCAUGCAUUUGCUGAAGUGAAUCAAACAGAAGCAACUGAACCCUCUUCAUCUGCUGAGAAGGCCCCACCAGCCAGGCUGCCCAGAAGCAGGAAUGCAAGGCCUCCAAAGACAGCAGGUCCCGCUGCCGCCAUGAGGAGGGCACCAGAAGAGAGGACGAGAAGCUGGCCCGUGCUGCUCAGCUCUCCCCUCACCCAGGCCCAGUGAGGUCAGAAGAAGCUGCCGUCGAUUGGUCAGAAAUAACUUUGCCGCUCAUGGCUUUUGCAUUUCCAGGCAGCUCAAAAAUAUUAGCAGCCUCCUAGCAGCCGUGCACCCCCAGCUGAAACUGCCAAGGCGAAAAGGGACAGCUGAGCCCAGUCAACUGCGUGACUGGGAAAAAUCACUGGUGACAUGACAUCUUUAGUCUAUUAAUAGAGAGCUCCCACACCCCGACAAUAGCAGCUCAAGAGGCGGGGGGCAGGGAGAGAGAGAGAGAGAGCAGCUACCAAGGUUCUGACGGAUGAAGCCCAAACUGUAUCCCAGCUUACGUGGGGCUGCCAGCGUUGAAAAGAUGGAAAGCUUUUGGCUUUCAAAGGUAUGAACUUGAAAGUUACUCGUGUUCACAGCAAUUGCAGGAAGGUGUUUAAAAAUUCAGGGAGCAUCAAAGACAAAGUGGACCAAUACAUGCAGCAAGGAAAGCCAGGUGUCUCUCCAGGUGUCUCCCAAACAUCACCACAGAAUAACUGGGGAGGGGGUGGAGACAGGCAAGUGGAUUUUCAGAGGAGGCCCAAUCACCCUCGCUCGGCGUCACAACACCACAGAGGCCAAGCCUCAGGGCAGCCACACCACCGCUGUGGGCUCUCCACCAAACCCCAAACGUCGCCUCCUGCACCCUAAAAUCACUCCCGUAAGGAGCCGUUAAUUAGAUGUCAGUUCCUUGGUGACACGGGAAUUAUCUAGGACCAAUCGCCUGGUUUUCCAUAGCUGGAAAGAGCAUAACUUCCCACCCAGGAGGAGGACGGGACCCAGGAGCCUGUGCAGUUCAGAGAAAGUACAGCUGGGAAGGCAGGAGGGCGCCCUCCCCCCCAGCCACAGGGCACUUCACAGGCUGGAGGGCGUUUCUCCGGUGUGGACUUCCUGAAUCUCACAGAGCCUCACCACCCUCCCGCAGUGGGGCACAGGCAUAGCCGGGUCUAGGCAGGCUUCUGUUACCCAGCCCAGCUCUCCUCCUGUAGAAGGGAAAGAGCAGAGCAACACACGCUUGUCUGGAGCUGCCAGCACCGGCUCCUCUUCCCGCUCAAGGGCGAGGAGCUCCAGAGCCACAGCAGGGAAGCCUGUGCUGCAGAUCUACCUCCCGAGGGCCCGCACCCAGGCCCACAUUCCAGGCUGGCUGUGUGUAAACUCUUGCACCCCUUAGGAGUCUCAGCUGAUGGGGGAGCCGCCCACGCUCAGCACCCUUCCAGGUCUCUCUCUCUCUCUCUCUCUCUCUCUCUCUCUCUCUCUCUCUCUCUCUCUCACACACACACACACACACACACACACACACUCACUCACACUCCCUGGACACCUACUUCCAUGAAGUCUGCAAAAAUCCCCUGCUAUCAGCUGCAUCUUUCAAAAAUGCACGCAAUUUACUACAUCCACCACACUGAGUGUUGAUGGGGGAAAACACCCAGAAGCUGCGGAACAUCUGCAAGCGGAGCUGCUUUAUGUGUGUGUGUGUCUAAGUAGCUUUUGCUCCCCCUCAUUUCGUGCUGCUUAGGGUUAUGUUAAACUUAGUAGGGACAGGAAAUAGCAGUGAAGAAAGGCGGCCCAGAAACCUUUCUUAGAACAGCAAGAAGAACGUCGGCCUGUUUUAAUUUUGCACGUGGAACAGCCUUCAAAGUGAACGGGAGUUGACAAGAUGCACACUCACCCUCACCCUUGUCUUGCUCACACCCCGGGAAUGGGUCCGUGGAGGGGACCUCGGAGUCAGGCUUCUCCUCUCUGAGCCACCUCCCCUGGAGUCCUCAGUAUCUCAAGUGGGUUUGAAUGGAAAUGGCCCCCUUGUGAAGGCCUGGGCUGGGAGUUAAUCCUGCUCUCUAAGUCCUGAUGGUCACCUGAUGUUGUAGCUGCGCUGCAGCCGUUUUCCUUUCAUCCGCCUCCUGCACUCCACCUACAUGGACCCAUUCAAGUGUCCUUGGAAUCCCAUCCUGUGGCCGACAGCCACUUCACGUGUUUGCCCUUGCCCGAAGCCCCUCUGAGCUGGACCUCUGCGGACACCCUGAAGAAGUCACGUUUGCUCACAACCCUUCUAGUGGCACGAUACACACGGUAUAAGAGAAGCACCAGCGUCCUUCAGACUUGCAGCCCAUGGCCAGUUCCUCUGCCUGUCUUGGUGCCAUAGUGGAAAAGUGUAGAUAACGAAACAGUGCAACUAAAUGACUUUAAAUUACAUCACCUGACAAAUUUGGAAGAGACAGGAGAACAGGUCCCCGGACACAAUCCCAAACACCUACAACUUUAAGGAGGAGAAGUUUAUUUUUAUAGUCCGUGGUUGGCUGGCUCCCAGGAAGAAACGGCAUCGUGUAGGGGUCAUGGAAAGAUGCUCAGCCUGUGACAGCCAGGAAGAAGAGAAAGAAGUGUGGAGCCAGAGACAGGAAUGCACCCUCCCACGUCAGGCCCCCAGUGACACACUUCCCGCCAGGCCCCACCUCCUAGCAGCACAUUCAGCUAUGAACUUGUCACUGGCUGGGUCCACCGCUGAGUACAGCACAGCACCCCCAUAACCCGAUCACCUCCCAAGCACAUGAGCCUUGGGGGAACGCUUAGAUCUAAGCCAUAACAGAAGCCCGGGACGUUGAUAAAGCACACGUCUGCAAGUGUCUGCAGGGCUAUCUCCAGAGACGACUGGCGUGGUGCCCAGUGAGCUGAGAAGGGAAGACCAGCCCUGACUGUGAGCAGCACCAUCCAAUACACUUGCUGAGGUGGAACAAAAAAGUGAAAGGAAGAGGGAAGCUGCCUGUGCUAGCAAAGUUGAUUCCGACUGAGCAGGUACAUCUGUCAUACCUGAGGGCCUCAGACUGCAGCUUCCUCUGUCUUUCAGCACGGAGUCACGCCAGCGACUGUCCAGGAAGCUUGCAGGCCUUCGCCUCAGCCUGCAGCUGCUCUUGGGCUCUCUUGUUCGGAAGCUUCCAGCCCCCUGGGCUGAGCAGCUACUGGAGACUCUGGCUCUCCAGUGUGCAGAUGGCCAUGGUGGACUCUCUCACCUUUGACACUAGAGAACCCUAUCCCAUACUUUAUCCAUUAAACCACCACAAGUACUCUCUGGAAUCACUAUUCUCUGCCUUCUAUAGACCUGGAAUUAAGGUGAAGAAAACUUAGCUUGGCUGUCAGUACUUGACUGAGUGGCAAAGCACAGACGGAAGCACCAGUCUCUGCCGGAUCUCAAGGCUCUUUCUAGGCCAAAGGACUGUCCCGGCAACUGUGCAGGAUGAAAGCUGGAGAAGGAGGCAGAGGGCCGGUGGCAAAACUACUGAGCUGGUCCUGGUGAGUCCGGAGAUGUCAGCAUGAUAAUGGCUGUGGGAAUAUGGAGACCGACACAGCAACACUACUUGGACAAGCAGAGGGAUAGGACAGAGCCAGUGCCCUGGGGUCUGUGAGGAAGAACUCUGCAUCCAGGAUGAAAGGGGGUGCCUCGGAGGGGAGUUAGACAGCCCAGAGCAGACGGCAGUGCACAAGGAUUGGUGAUGUGGGUGAAUGAACCAACAACCCUCGACAGGUGCACACAGGUGACAAGGAUGAGUCCAAGUGCCGUUUAACAGGAUAAGUUCCAAGCUGAACUGCCCGCUGGCAAGAAAAUCUGGCCGUGGCUUCCUCUCUACAGCCUCAGUGUGUCUGCACUAACUCCCACCACCAGGCUCUGCAUUGUUUAGCUGUCCGCUUGGAAGAAAACACACAAGCUUUUAUACUAACUUCCUCAUCAGCUAUUUCAAUAGCAAAUGCUCCAUUCUCCCUACUGGUGCAAACCUCAGAAGCCCAGAACCACAGUCUGAUACCUCAGAGGCCCUUGUGGGAGACAGACACCACCCAAAGGAAAGCCAGGAUUAGGGGCGAGCUCGGGGAUUGUCAGGUCUCAGCUCUUCCUUUUACAGAUGAGGCAACUGAUGCCCAAACAGCUGAAGGGAGUGCAGGCUGCUCCGUAACUCCAGUGGGUGGGCCUAUGCCACCUCCAGCGCCCCAGCUCAGGCCCCAACUCCUCCCUGCAGACCCACUGCCCCCAGGAGCAGAGGCCUCCCUGCAGGCCGCCCUGUGAUUCAGAGACCACACUCUGUGAUUCAGAGACCACUCCCUGCAGAGGCAGAGGACCUGGCAUCUCCUGGAAGGCAGCCUCUGCCUGGGUCCCUGGUUACUUGCCUUAGUUUAUGAGGCUAAUGGCUCUGCUUUGAUAUCAAUCAGCAACGUGUUCUUCCAAAACAAUAUUUGUUAAUGCUGGAAUUCAUAUUGUGUUUUCAAAGUGCCCCUUUCCCAGAGAGGCAGUUCAAGGGGAGUAGGAGCCAGGGAAGAGGGCUGGGGAGCAAAGCUUUUGGUCCCCAGGGGCCCAUUUCAGGCUCUUGGGCCAGGAGGUCUUUGGCAGUGCCAAAAAGCACAGGGCUAUGGCAGUGGGGGGGAGGGCAACACCACCACCCAGACAGGCAGCCCAGACCGGGGGUGCGAGCAGCUGGCAGGGCUGGUCUCACACUGGCUCUGCAAUUCGCCUCCAUUAUGAGGACCAAGGAGCCAAACAAGCAGAUGUGAGCUGUGGCUCCCUUCCUGGGCUGGGUGUUGAGGUGCAGAGCUGGAGAGCAAGUGAGUCUCUGCCCCUCAGGAAGCCCGAGCCCCAACCAAGAGAGUCUCUCUGUCCCUCCAGGCCCCCAGGUAGAGAUGACACAGGAGGCUUGUGCCCUGUCACCAAGAGGAUGGUGCUGAAAAUAAUUGCCUGCUCCUACGUGCUGAUGGGCUACUGUAAUGGACACGUGCCUGACCCCAGUUCUGUUGAGACAAUUAUGCUUCUAAG
This is a long non-coding RNA of Chinchilla lanigera (long-tailed chinchilla), 5678 nucleotides long. RefSeq lists it as uncharacterized. The transcript is spliced from 7 exons. The record is from RefSeq and is a predicted model, not a curated record. NCBI's taxonomy places the organism in Eukaryota, Metazoa, Chordata, Mammalia, Rodentia, Chinchillidae.